CAAUAGCGUAUAUUUAAGUUGUUGCAGUUAAAAAGCUCGUAGUUGGAUUUCGGUUAAGAGCGACCGGUCCGCCGUUUGGUGUGCACUGGUUGGUUUUAACUUCCUGUAGAGGACGUGCUCUGGGUUUAACGACCUGGACUCGGAGUCUACGUGGUUACUUUGAAAAAAUUAGAGUGUUCAAAGCGGGCUUACGCUUGAAUAUUUCAGCAUGGAAUAACACUAUAGGACUCCUGUCCUAUUUCGUUGGUCUCGGGACGGGAGUAAUGAUUAAGAGGAACAGUUGGGGGCAUUCGUAUUUCAUUGUCAGAGGUGAAAUUCUUGGAUUUAUGGAAGACGAACUUCUGCGAAAGCAUUUGCCAAGGAUGUUUUCAUUAA
RNAcentral lists this ribosomal RNA (375 nucleotides) under uncultured eukaryote. RNAcentral describes it as "partial 18S ribosomal RNA". It matches the Rfam family "Eukaryotic small subunit ribosomal RNA", at positions 592 to 976 of the family's 1831-position model. The record is from RNAcentral.